GACGAACGCUGGCGGCGUGCCUAACACAUGCAAGUCGAACGGAACUGUUUUGAAAGAUUUCUUCGGAAUGAAUUUGAUUUCGUUUAGUGGCGGACGGGUGAGUAACGCGUGAGUAACCUGCCUUCAAGAGGGGAAUAACAUUCUGAAAAGAAUGCUAAUACCGCAUGACAUAUCGGAACCACAUGGUUUUGAUAUCAAAGAUUUUAUCGCUUGAAGAUGGACUCGCGUCCGAUUAGUUAGUUGGUGAGGUAACGGCUCACCAAGACCGCGAUCGGUAGCCGGACUGAGAGGUUGAACGGCCACAUUGGGACUGAGACACGGCCCAGACUCCUACGGGAGGCAGCAGUGGGGGAUAUUGCGCAAUGGGGGCAACCCUGACGCAGCAACGCCGCGUGAAGGAUGAAGGUUUUCGGAUUGUAAACUUCUUUUAUUGAGGACGAAAAAUGACGGUACUUAAUGAAUAAGCUCCGGCUAACUACGUG
Molecule: ribosomal RNA, 482 nt
Filed under: uncultured bacterium
Lineage: Bacteria
Description: partial 16S ribosomal RNA
Rfam family: Bacterial small subunit ribosomal RNA
Source: RNAcentral